UGUGCUUUCAAUGUUCCUUCUAUAUUCUUUUACCCUCUUAUUGAGUGACCUUGAAGUGUAACCUAUGUAUUUAAGGUUCUCCUGUACAUCAUUGUCAAACGCUGCAAUUUCGUAUACUCCUGGCAUGGUAGUUGGGUCAUAUUUGUCUUUGUCGUUCCUAAGGAUGUUAAAUAGGGUAUUCCUCCUGUUAAAAACAAUUCUAGUGCUUGUUGCUUUCUCUAUUUUCUUCUUACAUCUUAAUGUAAUCGGAUUAAUCUCCAAAUUAUAAAAAUUCUUCUCAUUGCUAGCUUUUCCAUCAUCUGUCUUUGUUUUUUUAAACUGCUUUUUGGAAAUUUUCUUCCACAGUCUCAGAAUCA
This 356-nucleotide long non-coding RNA is filed under the name Androctonus crassicauda. Lineage: Eukaryota; Metazoa; Arthropoda; Arachnida; Scorpiones; Buthidae. The record is from RNAcentral.